RNAcentral lists this ribosomal RNA (497 nucleotides) under uncultured bacterium. RNAcentral describes it as "partial 16S ribosomal RNA". It matches the Rfam family "Bacterial small subunit ribosomal RNA", at positions 28 to 507 of the family's 1533-position model. The record is from RNAcentral.
GAUGAACGCUGGCGGCGUGCCUAAUACAUGCAAGUCGAGCGAACAGACGAGGAGCUUGCUCCUCUGACGUUAGCGGCGGACGGGUGAGUAACACGUGGAUAACCUACCUAUAAGACUGGGAUAACUUCGGGAAACCGGAGCUAAUACCGGAUAAUAUAUUGAACCGCAUGGUUCAAUAGUGAAAGACGGUUUUGCUGUCACUUAUAGAUGGAUCCGCGCCGCAUUAGCUAGUUGGUAAGGUAACGGCUUACCAAGGCGACGAUGCGUAGCCGACCUGAGAGGGUGAUCGGCCACACUGGAACUGAGACACGGUCCAGACUCCUACGGGAGGCAGCAGUAGGGAAUCUUCCGCAAUGGGCAAAAGCUUGACGGAGCAACGCCGCGUGAGUGAUGAAGGUCUUCGGAUCGUAAAACUCUGUUAUUAGGGAAGAACAAAUGUGUAAGUAACUAUGCACGUCUUGACGGUACCUAAUCAGAAAGCCACGGCUAACUACGUG